GACGAACGCUGGCGGCGUGCUUAACACAUGCAAGUCGAACGGUGAAGCGCCUUCCUUUUUGGUGGGUGUGGAUGAGUGGCGAACGGGUGGGUAACACGUGAGUAACCUGCCCCCUUCUUCUGGAUAACCGCAUGAAAGUGUGGCUAAUACGGGAUAUUCUGGGUCUGUCGCAUGAUGGGUCUGGGAAAGAUAUUGUUUCGGUGGGGGAUGGGCUCGCGGCCUAUCAGCUUGUUGGUGGGGUGAUGGCCUACCAAGGCGGUGACGGGUAGCCGGCCUGAGAGGGUGGACGGUCACACUGGGACUGAGACACGGCCCAGACUCCUACGGGAGGCAGCAGUGGGGAAUAGUGCACAAUGGGCGCAAGCCUGAUGCAGCGACGCCGCGUGAGGGAUGGAGGCCUGCGGGUUGUGAACCUCUUUCGCCAGUGAAGCAGGCCUGCCUCGUUUGUGGGUGGGUUGACGGUAGCUGGAUAAGAAGCGCCGGCUAACUACGUG
This 494-nucleotide ribosomal RNA is filed under the name uncultured bacterium. RNAcentral's name for it is "partial 16S ribosomal RNA". It matches the Rfam family "Bacterial small subunit ribosomal RNA", at positions 28 to 507 of the family's 1533-position model. The record is from RNAcentral.